UACGGGGGGAGCAAGCGUUGUUCGGAUUUACUGGGCGUAAAGGGCGCGUAGGCGGCGCAACAAGUCACUUGUGAAAUCUCCGGGCUUAACCCGGAGCGGCCAAGUGAUACUGUCGUGCUAGAGUGCGGAAGGGGCUACUGGAAUUCUCGGUGUAGCGGUGAAAUGCGUAGAUAUCGAGAGGAACACCUGCGGCGAAGGCGGCUUCCUGGCCUGUUCUUGACGCUGAGGCGCGAAAGCUAGGGGAGCAAACGGG
Molecule: ribosomal RNA, 253 nt
Filed under: uncultured bacterium
Lineage: Bacteria
Description: partial 16S ribosomal RNA
Rfam family: Bacterial small subunit ribosomal RNA
Source: RNAcentral